GAGCGCGUGAACUGGGAAAACUGUUCAUUGUGAGCGUUAAGUGUUAUGUAUAAUCGACCUUCACACGGUGGGGGUCGCUGGUUCGAACCCAGUAGCGCCCACCA
RNAcentral lists this transfer RNA (104 nucleotides) under Eggerthellaceae bacterium. RNAcentral describes it as "tRNA-Ser". Lineage: Bacteria; Bacillati; Actinomycetota; Coriobacteriia; Eggerthellales; Eggerthellaceae. The record is from RNAcentral.